GGGUGCUGGGCCGGGAGGGGCCUUCCGGCAACUUUUUGGUUGGUGCCGCCCCGCCCAGGCCCCGUUUAAACUUGAUCUCCGCGGUGCUCUCCCCUUUCGGCCGCGACGCGUGACUGGGCUUGGUGGAGUUUCAAGAUGCUGAUGAACUUAAGGUCUGGCGCUUGAAAGAAUCAGUGAAGCUUUUCAAGUAGAGGAGAUAUAUUUGAAUAUGUAAUCUUUAGUAUCUACAGAACACAGGCUGGAGUACAGUGGUGCGAUCUUGGCUUACUACACCCCCCGCUUCUCAGAUUCAAGC
This is a long non-coding RNA of Piliocolobus tephrosceles (Ugandan red Colobus), 295 nucleotides long. RefSeq lists it as uncharacterized. The transcript is spliced from 4 exons. The record is from RefSeq and is a predicted model, not a curated record. NCBI's taxonomy places the organism in Eukaryota, Metazoa, Chordata, Mammalia, Primates, Cercopithecidae.